RNAcentral lists this ribosomal RNA (4854 nucleotides) under Triticum aestivum (bread wheat). Its description in RNAcentral is "partial small subunit ribosomal RNA". The record is from RNAcentral. Lineage: Eukaryota; Viridiplantae; Streptophyta; Magnoliopsida; Poales; Poaceae.
AUGGAGCAUCCACCAGAGCUUGAAGGAUCAAGCAUCUACAGGGUGCCGUUUGUGAGGGUGUCCUGCCAGAGGGAGCCGGUGGAGUCUUCGUCGACGGAACCCAACUGCAAUAGGAGAAAAGCAGUUGGCCCGACGACGCUUCCCCGCCAUCGUCUCCCUCGCCGUUCACAUUGUCUCAUGGGGCGGCUGUCUGCCACCGAGGAAUUAAAACGUAGAGAUGACCGCUCUCGCGAUCCCCUUCGCCCCCGCCACCACCUCCACCCUCGUCGCCGCCCCCGGCACUACCUCCACCCUCGCCGCCGCCAUAGAUCUCGCCGCCACCCCCGCCUCCUGACUCCGGGCGCGCCUGCCCCCCUCAGCAAGUCCACUCGCGCGCCCCAUGGAGUCGUCGGCCAGAUCCAUGGGGGAAUGGCUGGAAGACAGGCAGAUGUACAAGAUGCAUCUCCCACAUGUCUACAAAGCCUUCCCACAGAUGCUCCAGCCGCUCAACUCCGUCCUGCUGGUGGUGCCGCGGGAAACUCGAGGGAGGAGAUGGAGGGAGCGGGCGAUGCGGAUCCGCGACGACGCUCUCUCCUGGACCUAGUGCACGCGCGAAUGGAGGGAAGCAGAGGAGGAAGCUACGAGGGAGGAAGCCAAGGAGGGACCAAAUCCGCUCUCUCACUCGCGCAGGUAUGCUCGGAUGUGCAAGGAUCAUGUGGAUUGGGAGCUGCUGAAUCUAGCCAUGCGGAUCUACUUCGAAGGAGAUUUCUCGGAGAAGCACAGGAUGCCCCACCCCAGGGAGCCGCCGAUUGCGUUCGUUCGAUGGGUGAAAGGGGAAGUGAAUUCAGGAGAUCCACGCCGUGCUGCGAGAUGGGAAUGCUUGACUGGACUCAUGCCCAUCAGCACGCCACCGGAGUCGGAGCAGGUGGAUCCCCUACCUUACCUCUCCUCCAAACCUGCAGAAGAUUGAAAUUAGGCUUGCAAUCUACUUCAAUUGAGCUAUCUGGUGGUUAUUUCUGCUUCCUGAGAGACAACAUCUGGCUGGAGGAUGAGAAGAAACCAGCAACUUCGAUGAAUUUCCCUAUCACAAUGGGGGGGGGGGGGCGAGCGCCGGUUGGGCAGUGCUAUGACCCACCUCCACCCCAAAUGGGGGAACAAUCUGAGCAGGCUCCUGUAAUUUCCCAAGAUCAAUCUGUUGGUGGUUCUGUCUCUCAGAUCAGUGGGAAAUCGCAAGGCAAGAAUCAGCAAAAGCAGAGACAGGACAUCCAAAAAACUGCUCAUGCCCCUGCUUCGGGCCUUAUAGCAUACUCUGAGGUGAUUUGCUACAACGGUGGGGAACCAGGGGAUCAUUUGGAUAAAUGUGUCAAGCCCAAGAGUUGUUUUAUCUGCAAAAUGGUUACCCAUAAAGUUGAGAAUUGCCCAGUCAGAAGGAAAACCCACAAUUCUGCUAGAUAUGUUGGAAGUGCUGCUCCAGGAUUAGGGUUCUACCACAUAGACCCACCUGAUGAAAAUGCUCAGUAUCAUGGCUCCCUGAAGAAUGUGGGGAUUGUUCUGGUAGAAGCUGGUGAAGUGACCAAGCAGGAACUUCCGGCUGAGUUUGCAGACAUUUACAAAACCAACUGGCCCUGGCCAAUCAAUGCCCUAGAUGAGUGGACAUUCUUGGUCAAAUUCCCUCCUGAAAUAGAUGUUGAAGUCUGGAAAGGCAGGAUUGAGGCUGAAGAGGACCUCCAGGAAACUUGGAUCAAGAUCACGAAAUUGAACCCCCAAGUGCAUAAUUUCAAGUCAUUCUAUGAAACUGUUAGGGUCAAAAUCUUAUGUAAAGAUCCCUCCAAAAUCCCUGCUGAAAGGCUUUUUGGAGUUGGGAACAAAAUCUACAGGCUACUCAUUGAGGUGGAGUCCUUAGCCCCCACUGAAACUGGCACCUCCACCAACCUCUUUGCUGGUACAUAUGUCUCUGCAGCUGAAACUGGUACCAAUCUUACUGAAGAUGCUGAAUCCAAUAGGAGCUCUAGAUCUGAAUCAGAUAAAGGGCCUGCUGGCAAUUCUGGGGCCCCUAACAUCAGAGGACAGUCUUUUGGCCACAAUCAGAUGCUUGGAGAAACUACACCCACUUCGGUCCUCAAGACACGCCUCCCUGAUUCUCCAUACACUCCUCAAUUCAGCAUCCAGGAAAAGAUCUUGAAUUCUAUGCUUGAUGAAACUGAUGGAUUCAACCUCCUCAGGGAAAUGGAGCUCCUAGAAGAUGAUGAUCUGAUGGAACUAGAAGGUUCUAACUCUGACUUCCCUGCCCUUCCUAAGGAGAAGCACCUUCCCAAAUGGUGUCCUGUUCAAGCCACCAGAACCAGUGCCAGGGUAGCUGGUGACAAGAGAACCAUUAUUGAAAAGGCUCAACAGCUCAAAGAGGUUCAGAACCUGGAAGUGCAAAAACCCCAGGGUAUGAAACACACUUCCUUGUCCAACUUUAAUGAUCCUUCCUUCAAUGCCAUUGCUGCUAAGAUUGGUGUAGAUGUUACUCCUCUUAAUGAUGGCAUUGAAUGCUCUUCCUUUAUUUACCCUCACCAAAACAGAUCUGAAGGCUUUGUUUGUGAGAAUUUUUCUCUAGAUGGUAGUUCUAGUUUAGACUGCGUUGACCCCCUACUGAGCCAAGUGCGGGUCUCUGGCCCGCGGGUCGAGACCCCUGACCGGCGGUCCCACCCUAGGGUGACUGUACCUACCCGGCUACAGCCACCUUCUCACCCAUGCAGAGGCAGCUACUUGGCAUGGGUAGUCGGUUCAGCCCGUCCCAUUCCAGGUCUAUGGUCAGUACGAUUUGCGCCGCUUUUGAAAACCAUCCCUCUCACCUCUCUCUCUCUCCCCCAAGAACAGAGCACGGUCGCCGUCGCCUCGAUCUGCCCCGUCCGGGCAUCUCCGGUGACAUGGCGGACACCUACAGAUUCCCCUCGUCUCCCUCUACCAUUUCCCCCUAUUUAUUUGAUCCGCCGCCGCCAAAAACGUCGCCACCACUCAAUCCUAGCGCCGCCUGAUCCAGGUCCGGUGGGCUUGCCACCGGCUGCAGCGGCAACGACGUCUCCAUGCCUACAUCCUCCCCCCAGCGCAGCCACACGCAUAAGGCAUGCAGCCACAGGAGUCGGGCCUGUGCGGCUUCACCGGCGCUGCUCGGUUGCCAUGGCUUUGCUGCUAACGGUGUGGAGUAGCCACAUCCUACUGCUACUACUAGUAAGCGGGCUGGGCGGCGAGGCGGAGGGGGAUGCGGUGGCGAGGGGAUGCAAUGGUGACCACCUACGUGGACAGGUCAAGACCCAGAGAGGCGCGCAUAUAUGGGCCGCUGGAGCCAAACCACCAGGACUCCGGCAAGCCCAAGAGAUGGAAGGAGAUGAAGCUCCCGACACACGUCGUGUCCAGAGUCGCGCCAUCAUAGACACAAGCCAGAACACAGGAGAGGGACGCAAGUCCAUGGCCAAGGGUCGGGGUAGGUGGAAUGAGCACGGGAGGGGCCAGAUCCGCCCCGCCGCCGCUUUCCUGGGGUCCAGGGUGACUUCGCUGCGGUGGAGGGCGGCGACGGUGCCUGGAAGCAACAACGGCUACGGUUCCCUCCAUGUCGCUGGAGGAGGGACGACGGAUGGGGGUAAGCUGGUGAGCGGGGCAUGGCCAUGGAGGGCACCGCAGUGUGUUAGCCCAGGCCAGCCGAUGACGAGUAGCCAUUGUGGGGAGCUGCUGCCACGUGCGUCCAAAUGGGGGGGCGAAAGGAGUCAACUGCAAGGAGAAGGAUGCGUGAGGAGGGCAGGCCGGCGAUUUGGAUCAGGAGCUAGUCGUGCGGCACCUGCAAGCCCGCCGAAACAACAGAGGUGCUGGCGUGGGGGUAAGGGGGCCGAGGUUGUGAUGCGGGGGUGGGGAGAAGCACCUAAGGGGCCAGAUCUGCCCCGUCGCCGCCUUCCUGGGGUCUGGCACGACUUCGCCGAUAUACUACCGCCACAGCAGCCGCCCCGACUCCUCAAGGAGGCCACUCUCAUGGACGUAGAUUCUGUCCAUCAGAUCGAGAUAAUGACGGAGCAGUCGCUCCGUUACAUGGGGCUGUCGCAGGCGUGCAUCAAGGAUGAGCCGCCGUCCCCGCCACGCCACCACGUCAAGCCCGAGCCGGCGUCCACGCUCCUGCCAGUGAAGGAGGAGCCGGUCUUGCCCCGGCACAACCGCAACGUCCAGAUCAGACGCCGCGUGAAGGAGGAGCUGGCCUUUCCCCCGCACCACCGCGGUUUCCAGAUCGAAUGCCGGGAGGAGCUGCCGCCCGCACUCGAGAAGGCGUGGGGCUGCCUCCUCCACUACCUCGGCGGUCCCUCGGGCUCGAGGGGUGUCGUGUCUGAGGUGGAGCGCGCGGCUCAGCAGCAGGAGUGGUACGAUCGACGCAAUGCCAGUCACCGCCCCGCGUUUGCCAAGAGCGAUGUGGCGCCGGACUGCGUCCAUAACGACCCAGACCUCGCCGCCAUGUGGGCGCUCGACCGCCCCGUGACCACCACAAAGACGGCAGCCAGGCGUCGCCGCUGCCUUGACGGCGAGCUCGCCAAGAUCAAUGAGGAGAGGUCGCUUAGCGACUGCUCCGCGAAAGCUGGUCGCGGCAAGGCCGCCGCCAGGGCUUCGAAGGCCACGUUGGCAGUGGUCGUGGUGGCACUCUGCAUAGCGCAGCAGGAGGCAGAGUGUCUCCUUCGCGAGCGUAGCCAGCCGCCGGACAAGGCUGCCACGGCCCUCCGGUGCCAUUCCGCCGCUAGAGGGACCACGAGGAUGACGACGGCACCGACGGAGACAGCGGUGCGGCAGGACAUGGCGGCCAUGCGUACAAGGUGGUCGUCCGGUAUAAGGUUUAUGUUUUUUUCUAGUUUUUAA